Non-coding RNA from Capsicum annuum, 105 nucleotides. The record is from Rfam. NCBI's taxonomy places the organism in Eukaryota, Viridiplantae, Streptophyta, Magnoliopsida, Solanales, Solanaceae.
ACUUCGUGGUUGGGGCAUUUCAAAAUCUUUUCAUUAAAUCUCUCUCACACAUCAUAUAGAUCUCCUCAUUGAAUUGACAAAAAUUUGUAAUUUUAUCUUGCAAUU